Pan troglodytes (chimpanzee) is the source of this 4022-nucleotide RNA transcript. It is a transcript of the gene named RIC8 guanine nucleotide exchange factor B, with no coding region annotated. The transcript is spliced from 14 exons. Lineage: Eukaryota; Metazoa; Chordata; Mammalia; Primates; Hominidae. The record is from RefSeq and is a predicted model, not a curated record.
AUUCGGCACGCCAGUAAAUUAGAUGGAAGAACGGGAUAGCCCCAUUGCAUGCAGGGAAUUGCAGUCCAUUUAGCGGCUGGUUCAUAGAUGGGCGGGGAAGAGCCGGGUUGCUCUAGUCCUUUGAGAAUGAUUCAUAGAGGAGGGUCAGGAAAGAAGAACGGUUCAGUCUGUGAAAGCCCCCUUAAAAGACUGGACAGUUCUCCGAGGGAGGGAGAGGCAGGAGAGCAAGCAGGGCCUUGGGCCUGACUCCGCCUCGGUCCGCUAGCCAGGCCUCGACCGAGUCCUGGGCCUUGUCGGGGGCGGCCGUGAGGCGCCGGUUGCUGGGGGAGCGGUGACGUCGCGGGGUGAAAGUUGAGGGGCGGUGACGUCGGGCCGGCCCGGGCGGAGGCUGGCGGGUUGGAGGCAGGACGGAGGGAGGGAAAGAGGGAAGGAAGGAAGCUGGGAAGGAGCGAGCGGGGGCGCGAGGCGUUUACCUGGAGGCAGCGGCUUGGGCGCGCAGAGCGGCCGCGGCUCCCCCGCACCUGCGGCCAUGGAUGAGGAGCGCGCCCUCUACAUCGUCCGGGCCGGCGAAGCAGGGGCUAUCGAGCGGGUCCUGAGGGAUUACAGCGACAAGCAUAGGGCUACUUUCAAAUUUGAAUCAACAGAUGAAGAUAAAAGAAAGAAACUCUGUGAAGGCAUAUUUAAAGUCCUUAUAAAGGACAUCCCAACAACAUGUCAAGUGUCCUGCCUGGAAGUACUCCGCAUUCUCUCCAGAGACAAAAAGGUUUUAGUUCCUGUAACAACUAAGGAAAAUAUGCAGAUACUGCUGCGACUAGCCAAGCUAAAUGAGUUAGAUGAUUCUUUGGAGAAAGUAUCAGAGUUCCCAGUUAUUGUGGAGUCAUUAAAAUGUCUGUGUAAUAUAGUGUUCAACAGUCAGAUGGCACAGCAGCUCAGCCUGGAACUUAAUCUUGCUGCAAAGCUCUGUAACCUCCUGAGAAAGUGCAAGGACCGGAAAUUUAUCAAUGACAUUAAGUGCUUUGACUUGCGCUUGCUCUUCCUUCUGUCACUUUUGCACACCGACAUCAGGUCACAAUUGCGCUAUGAGCUCCAGGGACUACCGCUGCUAACGCAGAUCUUGGAAAGUGCCUUUAGCAUCAAGUGGACCGAUGAGUAUGAAUCGGCCGUAGACCAUAAUGGACCUCCUCUCUCACCUCAGGAGACAGACUGUGCCAUUGAGGCCCUCAAAGCUCUCUUCAAUGUGACGGUAGACAGUUGGAAGGUGCAUAAAGAGAGUGAUUCUCAUCAGUUCCGUGUAAUGGCAGCUGUCCUUCGUCAUUGUUUACUAAUCGUAGGUCCAACUGAAGACAAAACAGAAGAGCUACACAGCAAUGCAGUCAACCUUUUAAGCAAUGUUCCGGUCUCUUGUUUGGAUGUUCUCAUUUGUCCGUUAACCCAUGAAGAAACAGCCCAAGAGGCAACGACUCUAGAUGAACUGCCCAGUAAUAAAACAGCUGAGAAAGAAACAGUUUUGAAAAACAAUACCAUGGUAUACAAUGGUAUGAAUAUGGAGGCCAUUCAUGUUUUACUUAAUUUUAUGGAGAAGAGAAUAGACAAGGGAAGCAGCUAUAGAGAGGGUCUAACUCCAGUUCUCAGCUUAUUAACCGAAUGUUCCCGAGCCCAUCGAAACAUCCGAAAAUUUCUCAAAGAUCAGGUUUUACCACCGUUGAGGGAUGUGACAAAUCGACCUGAAGUUGGCUCAACUGUGAGAAAUAAGCUGGUGCGCCUCAUGACACAUGUUGACCUUGGAGUCAAGCAAAUUGCUGCUGAAUUCCUUUUUGUCCUUUGCAAAGAGAGAGUGGAUAGUCUGCUGAAAUACACUGGCUAUGGGAAUGCUGCAGGACUGUUGGCGGCCAGGGGCCUCUUGGCUGGAGGAAGAGGAGAUAAUUGGUACUCAGAGGAUGAGGACACAGACACUGAAGAAUACAAAAAUGCAAAACCAAACAUUAAUCUUAUCACUGGUCAUUUAGAGGAACCAAUGCCAAACCCCAUAGAUGAAAUGACAGAAGAACAAAAAGAAUAUGAAGCCAUGAAACUUGUCAACAUGCUUGAUAAACUUUCCAGGGGAAUCCACAUAUUCUAGAAGCUGCCAACAAAUAAAUAUACAAACGUCAAGUCUGAAAUACCCCAGCUUCCACCUGAUUUAAACUAUGCCUCAAAGAAGAUGCCUACUUAUCCGGAAGUACCCAGCAGAUGCCCAACUGAAGGAGAGCAGAUGUGAAGGACCUGCACCAGGAUGGUGGUUAGCAACAGUGGCCCGUGCCAAAGCACUUACCAAAGUGAUGAUGACUAAGACCCUGUCAUUAAUUCCAUGUGUCAAUACUGCCCUGUAGUACACAGAGCAGACAAGAAAGAAGAGCCCUUGAAAACAAGGGAAUGAUUUUUGAGUCGUUAUCAAGCUAAGUGGCAAGCGGGAAGCUGAAACUCGUAUAGUUGAACAUUCUUGGAGGCUUAUCUCUUCCCUGGCCAGAUGCCUGAUCAGAUGAGAAGCCCGCCAUGAUACUGUCACAGUGCCUAGAAUGGGCUCUUUAUCCAGUAGACACCACUGUACUUUUUGAUACGAGGGCAGUCUUAACUUGUGUUAAGGCCUGUGUGUAGCAUUGAAGAGAGGAGUUGCUUAAACCAAUGGGACUAAAACCUGAUGGGACAAUAACGCCUUUGGAGGAAGCACUCAACCAGUACUCUGUCAUCGAAGAGACCAGCUCUGACACAGACUAAAAGCAUCACCUGCUCAACUCUCAAUAUUGCUUUAUCAGCAUCUUUUCUCUGUAGCUCCAGGGGAAUCUUUUCUCUAAAACAUUUAUGCCCUUGCUUUGGCUAGAAACACAUUAACUGGUUUACUCAUUGAGAAUCCAGCAUAUUUAAGAGGUGACCCUGUGUUUUUUGUGAUAUUGAGGCAUUCAUACAGAGCUGCAGUUAGACGGGGUUACGGGGGCUAAAAGCAGAAAAAAAUUCCAUUUCAUCGGGAUGGAACUGAAGGAUUUUAUUCUAUAAAGCGGCCCUGGUUGAAUCUGGCAAUUCUUUUUGCCAAGAUUCCUAGCAGACGAUUUAGCCAUGUCCUUCCCCUCACUUGUGUGAGCGGCCCCUUCUAAAUCUCUCCAGCAGCCAGAGGCACGUGAGAAGCAGAAAGAGCUGGUAAAUAAAGCCUUGGGCAAGCGACUUCUUAGAUCAGAACUCACCAAAUGGAAGCCUAGCAGCUGCUCCAUAAACCUAGCCCCAUUCUUCAUAUCAAUUUUGUAUAAAUAUAUAGAAACACACACACAGCCUCAGACUUACAAACUGAUUAUACUCUAAAAGUUUGUACGUCAGUUAGCUAAAACUUCAGAAUACAUUUCUCCCUAUAAAGAGUUAUAAAUGAUGGUUUAGUUCUCAGGCAGCUACAAAUGCCUAUUUAUUCCCUAAUGUACCUGAACACUAGUACCAUAGAACUGAACCACCAUCUGUAUCAGCGCAUGGGGAGUGUGCAUUCUGAGGUCUAACCCGGGGUGCCAGGAACACACACAUCCUCCAUCCCAGCAUAGAGAAUGGGGACUCCCUGAGUAAUGGGAGUUCUUUCGUGGCCUCUGCUUGGGGUGGGGGAGUCAGCAGCACCCAUUUGUACAUAUAGGUCAUUCAUACAUCACAUUUUAAAUUGGGGACUGUGUGUGCUGGUGUGUGUGUGAGUUCUACGUUUCUACCAUAUGUGAUCAGUUUAAUAGUAACUUUAUUUAUUUAAAAAAAAGAAACACAAUUAGUUACUGUUAAACUGAUAAAGGGUGUUUAUUUUUACUUUUAGAAUUGGUCCUAUGAAGAAGUAGAAAGUGAGUCAUGCACUAGACAGUGGGCCUAGCUCAUCAGUGGCUAAAGUUGAAAAGGGGUUGGUUUCCUGUAUAUAUAUGUAUGUAUAUACACACGUACAUACAUUCAUAUAUAUACAUAUAUACAUAAUGUGCUUAACCACUGCCUUUUAAAACUUUAAAUUAAAUAAAACAUUGGGGUUGAUUCAA